Non-coding RNA from Anas platyrhynchos (mallard), 3244 nucleotides. Lineage: Eukaryota; Metazoa; Chordata; Aves; Anseriformes; Anatidae. The record is from RefSeq and is a predicted model, not a curated record.
CUGGCAGCUCUCCAACCACUCAUCUCCCAGCCUGUAGCUCUGCUGGGGGUUAUUGCGCCCCAGGUGCAGGACCCAGCACUUGGCCUUGUUAAACUUCAUGCAGUUGACCUCAGCCCAUCAUUCUGAUUAGAGAAGGAAAUUUGACCAGCAGGACUAUCUAUCGUACCCAACCUUUCUUCUGAGUCUGUAGACUAAGUAGGGUCUCUAUUGUAAGUUUAAUACAAGGUGUCAUUGACUCCAGAUGUACACGUCUGCUGCCACCGGGUAGCUAAGAGUAGCAAAAAAUACUGAAUUUAGGGUAAGUCAUCUCCCUUUGACAAGCAUAAGUAUCCAUUCAGGAAAAUGGAAAAACUUUUUUUUUUUUUUUUUAAAUAGAAAAGUGCCCUUCAUAUAUUCUUUAAAAAAGUUACAAUCAGAAAAAAUUAUAUUAGGAAAAGAGAACUUGGUCACAGUCUUAGGAAAACACAACAAAAUAUAUCUGCAAAUAAAGAAUAAGAGCUGGCAACAACCCACCGCAUUUCCUUCCUGCCUACUGGCAAGUAUAUUCCACAGCUUCUAAUCCAUGACUGUAGGUUCAGGGUGCCAGCAGUGCUUGAUCCAGCUCUGCUUUGUUGCAGCAUUGCAUCUUGCUGCAUCCUGCCUACUGCCGCCAUUUCCAGCUUUUGCUGCAAAGUCCUGAGGUUUGAUCUCACAAGAAAGUUGGAAUAAGAGACAUGUCUGGGACCUUUGGGCAGAGCCUUUGCCAUUUGCAAAUACUUCCAAACAACGUGUGGACACGUGGGUGGUGGUGAAGGGCAUUUGGCCAGAAGUCCCACCUUUGUGCUGCCUUGAGAAAAUGGCUACAGAAGAAAUUCUGCUCGCUUAUGCAGUUCCAGACACUUGCAUUGCCCCAACAAGAAGCUUUUAAGCAGAAUGGCAGCAUGUAAACAGCUGAAGAAAUGGGGUCAUCAGCCUAGAAAUAACUUUGGAUUUUUGGAUAUAUAGUGAUUUUCUGCAAGAAAGCAACCACCAUGUAACUUUAUGGGGCAUUUGGUGUCAAAAGCAGCAGUUCCCGAUGUAUUUGUGUCAGUGCAAAUAAAAGUGUACAUUGAUGAUUAUUGAGAGGGUUGAGAGAGGAUUGGAUCUUGGUUUGGAAGUAACAGGGAGAUAGUUUUGAGGCUCUUUCAUCUCAAAGUAAAGACAUACAGGAUCCAGUGGCUGGAAGCUGGAGGUAUGAAAAACAAAGUACGGGAUUUAUUUUAGCAGCAAGGGUUAUUAGUGUUGGAAUGUUCCCAAGGGAUGUGGUAAAUUGUCCAUCCUUUGUAGUAUUUAAAUGAAAAAUAAAUGUGUUUCUAGAAGAUAUGCUCUAUUUUGGCCACAAAUUGUUGGAGAAUUGUUGAGUGAAACACUGAGUUUUUCAUGGUGGAAAUCAAAUUAGAUGAUUACAACACCUCUAAAACCUACCAAGACUGUCAUUUCCUUUCGAUUUUGUUGUUGUUGGUGGUGGUGGUGUUUUUUUUUCUCUCUUAUUUAUGGCGGAAUUGGUGUGAGACAGGGAAGAUAGAUAAGUUUGCAUGACUUCAGCUACAAAGGAGUGUACCUGAUCAUGAAUGGUGCUGAGCCUCUUUAUCAGAAAAACACUAUGACCAUUGGGAUUUAGGAUUUUUAAGCCUCCAAGAUCCAGUGAUGCUUUGGAUAAGCUCCUCCUCUGGGUCCAUCAAUACCGCCUUUUUAGCUGGGUUAGUACCUUGUUUAAUGAGACUCAAACAGGAUCUGCACUGUUUUCUUGCUUUUCUGCUUUUGACUUUGCUGGUGUGGGUACAUCAGAUACCUUGUUGCCUCACUGACCCAUAGUAGGUUUGAGAGCAUAAUUCUAGGCUUUGUAUGAAGGGAACAUUUGUAAAGCAGCAGUCUCAUGCUAAUCUGCAGAGGAAAAGCACGUAUGACAGGCGGUGGGGAUUCCAUUUCUCGGGAUCCAGAGUUUAAGACAGGCUUAAAGGAGUCUUAUUAAAAGUGUUUUCCAGUGCAUGUGGCUCCUUCUGACAGCACCCAGGUGGUUCAGAAACCAGUAUUAAGAAUAAAAGCUGUUUCUCUUUUCUGUACAACAAAUGGUUCAAGUGUCUGGUAUUUGAUUCAGAAAGGAAACCUGCAGCAGUCAUGUCCCCUGAAAUAAACCAACCAACAUUUUGAGCUGCCAACACUUCUGUCUAUUACGUCAAGGCAUCACAAAGUUUAAAGCAUAGCAAAGUAAUAUAUAUAUAUAUGUUUUUCUGUAAUCCCAGGGUAAAUAUUAGGUAGACAGUAUUUCUGCUUUGUGCAUUAAAAACCCGACUGAAUUUGAAAAGCCUGCAAGUGCACUUUGGGGAUUUUGGAAAGUGUCAUUUGGCCAUGAGCUAAGACCAGAAGCUGCCAUUUUGCAGAUGGGGCAGGAGGGAAAGGCGUUUGGCCUCAUUCAUAACUUCACAGCUACUGCAAAUAUCAGCUGAUGAAUAUUUAUGUUAUGCCUGGCAGAGGCUCGAAAGGCAAACGGGGGGAGGAGCAGAGGGGGAAGCUUAAGUUAGGAAAAUGGUCGUCUGAACUCUGUGGGAUUUCUUUACCAACACUUUCCAUGCUUGAACAGUAGCUGCUGAAUGAAAUCAUUAUGCACUGAGCCCCUGCGCAGGAAAACAAAGUUUGUCAAGACUCUGUUCGUUAGCACCUCGUACUUUGUUUGAACCUUGGACAUUUGCUGGACUCUGUAAAUGGAAACUUUUUUUUUUUUUUUUUUCUCAAAUCAAACACACUGUAGAGCUAGCCUGUUUUCUUUUGUUUAGUCAUUGCUACAAUGGUGAUGGUGCUAAUGGUAAAACAGUGUCUCAUCAUUGGAACAAGAGGGGUCAGACAGAACAUGAAGUGCUGCAGAGUGGUGAGGGUACUGAGGAGGUCCUGCUGCAAGACCAACUGAGAUAGCAAAUAUGGAAAGGAUUAAAUUAGGUGUCGUUAUUGAACAUACCUGUAGCCUUUAACUGUGUUCAGCUGUGUCUGUUGGUGUCUGUAGGCUCAUCUCCCUUGCCAGGAACCCACUUGAAACUGGAUCUGUCCUUCAAGUUGCUGCACAGCUAUUGAUAAGAAGAGAAGUAGAAAUUGAAUGAUCUGGGCAUAGAGCUGAGAGAUAACAGAAGCCAGAGAUGCUUUCCUCUAUACUGUGCUAAAUUUAGAAACAGCACAUAUAUUGUGUUGCAUUUAACUGCUGUGGGCAAUAAACGUUGGGUUAAAAUGAAAGUCA